CGCACGCAGACGCCGCUGCUUGGGGCCCGGUCAUGUGGGGCUACCGCGGGCUGAGCUGCGCAGGCCGGGUUCUGCUUGGUGUCCCGCGGGCGGCCGGGGGCUGGACCAGCGGCCGCCGCCCGCUGCAGCCCGGUCUGAGAACUGUAAAUGUGAUCUUUCGUAAUCUUGACACUGCUGCUGAUUGUAGUGUUUCCUAUAAAGAACUCAAAGGCUUGCUAAAAUCCCAAACAACUCUUAUUGAUGUUCGAGAGAAGUGGGAAAUUGGACAGUUUGGAAAAAUUCCUGGAUCCGUCAACAUACCAUUGGGUGAGGUUGUGGAAGCUCUACAGAUGAACCCAAAAGACUUUAAAGAACGGUACAAUCAAGAUAUGCCUGCUAAAUCCGACCAUCUAGUCUUUUCCUGCAUGGCAGGAGUGCGAAGCAAGAAGGCAUUGGAUAUUGCUAUGUCUUUGGGCUUCAGCAGAGAAUUUGGUGGGAUGCAAUCCCAUACUCAAGAUGUCCCCUACACCUCCAACUGCCAGAAGUAUUUGGCACUAGCCACUGUCAGAGACCAGAUAUUGGGCUAGAUGGACCGUAGGUCUGACCUAGUAUGGACGUUAUCAUCUUCAGGGUACAGAGUUCAGCACUAUGCUGGUGGCUUGGAGGAGUGGGCAAAGUAUGAACCACCAGAGAAAAAACAAUGAUGAUGAAUUUUGGAAUAUGCCUUGUUACAUAAUGUCCUGAAAUUUACACAAGCCUAGUAAUAUCUUGUAUGAAAUAAGAUUGAGAAUGUAGUGUGAAGGGGAAUGAUUGUUUAUAUAUGUAAAGUUAAUACACACUGUUAAAUGUAGCUGAUUAUUCUGAAUUUAAAUUGAUUGAGAGUUGAAGAUUACACGAGUAGACUGUUCAUUCUCCUUUGGUCAUAUGUUAAAAUUACUGUGGAACUACUCCAUGAAGAAAACUUAAAGCUAUGGACUUCAAUGUAAAAACUGAACUGUACAUACUGUACCAAUAUGAUAUAUACAACAGGGGAUCAUGAUUAAACUUAUGGUGAGGCGUAA
Molecule: RNA transcript, 1040 nt
Organism: Chrysemys picta bellii (western painted turtle)
Lineage: Eukaryota; Metazoa; Chordata; Testudines; Emydidae
Gene: TSTD3
Gene name: thiosulfate sulfurtransferase like domain containing 3
Source: RefSeq, a predicted model, not a curated record